UGGCUGUCGUCAGCUCGUGUUGUGAAAUGUUGGGUUAAGUCCCGCAACGAGCGCAACCCUUAUCCUUUGUUGCCAGCGGUCCGGCCGGGAACUCAAAGGAGACUGCCAGUGAUAAACUGGAGGAAGGUGGGGAUGACGUCAAGUCAUCAUGGCCCUUACGACCAGGGCUACACACGUGCUACAAUGGCGCAUACAAAGAGAAGCGACCUCGCGAGAGCAAGCGGACCUCAUAAAGUGCGUCGUAGUCCGGAUUGGAGUCUGCAACUCGACUCCAUGAAGUCGGAAUCGCUAGUAAUCGUGGAUCAGAAUGCCACGGUGAAUACGUUCCCGGGCCUUGUACACACCGCCCGUCACACCAUGGGAGUGGGUUGCAAAAGAAGUAGGUAGCUUAACCUUCGGGAGGGCGCUUACCACUUUGUGAUUCAUGACUGGGGUGAAGUCGUAACAAGGUAACCGUAGGGGAACCUGCGGUUGGAUCACCUC
RNAcentral lists this ribosomal RNA (483 nucleotides) under uncultured bacterium. Its description in RNAcentral is "bacterial SSU rRNA". It matches the Rfam family "Bacterial small subunit ribosomal RNA", at positions 1046 to 1529 of the family's 1533-position model. The record is from RNAcentral.